Molecule: ribosomal RNA, 455 nt
Filed under: uncultured bacterium
Lineage: Bacteria
Description: bacterial SSU rRNA
Rfam family: Bacterial small subunit ribosomal RNA
Source: RNAcentral
UACGGAAGGCAGCAGUGGGGAAUAUUGCACAAUGGGCACAAGCCUGAUGCAGCCAUGCCGCGUGUAUGAAGAAGGCCUUCGGGUUGUAAAGUACUUUCAGUCGUGAGGAAGGUGUUAAGGUUAAUAACCUUAGCAAUUGACGUUAGCGACAGAAGAAGCACCGGCUAACUCCGUGCCAGCAGCCGCGGUAAUACGGAGGGUGCGAGCGUUAAUCGGAAUUACUGGGCGUAAAGGGCACGCAGGCGGUUAAUUAAGUUGGAUGUGAAAUCCCCGGGCUUAACCUGGGAAUGGCAUUCAAGACUGGUUAGCUAGAGUCUUGUAGAGGGGGUAGAAUUCCAUGUGUAGCGGUGAAAUGCGUAGAGAUGUGGAGGAAUACCGGUGGCGAAAGGCGGCCCCUGGACAAAGACUGACGCUCAUGUGCGAAAAGCGUGGGGAGCAAACAGGGAUUAGAUACC